RNAcentral lists this ribosomal RNA (429 nucleotides) under bacterium. RNAcentral describes it as "partial 16S ribosomal RNA". It matches the Rfam family "Bacterial small subunit ribosomal RNA", at positions 355 to 776 of the family's 1533-position model. The record is from RNAcentral.
UAGGGAAUCUUCCACAAUGAACGCAAGUCUGAUGGAGCAACGCCGCGUGAGUGAAGAAGGUUUUCGGAUCGUAAAGCUCUGUUGUUGGUGAAGAAGGAUAGAGGCAGUAACUGGUCUUUAUUUGACGGUAAUCAACCAGAAAGUCACGGCUAACUACGUGCCAGCAGCCGCGGUAAUACGUAGGUGACAAGCGUUGUCCGGAUUUAUUGGGCGUAAAGCGAGCGCAGGCGGAAUGAUAAGUCUGAUGUGAAAGCCCACGGCUCAACCGUGGAACUGCAUCGGAAACUGUCAUUCUUGAGUGCAGAAGAGGAGAGUGGAAUUCCAUGUGUAGCGGUGGAAUGCGUAGAUAUAUGGAAGAACACCAGUGGCGAAGGCGGCUCUCUGGUCUGCAACUGACGCUGAGGCUCGAAAGCAUGGGUAGCGAACAGG